GAUGAACGCUGGUGGCGUGCCUAACACAUGCAAGUCGAGCGAUUCUCUUCGGCGAUGAGCGGCGGCCGGGUGAGUAACGCGGGGGUAACCUGCCCUGUACACACCGCUAACAUACCGAAAGAUAUCCGAAUACGAGAUCACAUGCUUUUUUCGCAUGCUAGAAGUAUCAAAGCUGUUGCGGUACGGGAUGGACCCGCGUCUGAUUAGCUAGUUGGUGAGGUGAUGGCAGACCAAGGCGAGGCCGAGUAGCCGACCUGAGACGGUGAUCCGCGACAUCGGAAAUGAGACACGGUCCACAAUGGUACGGAACGGAGCAGUGGGGAAUAUUGCACGAGGGGCGAAAGCGCGAUGAAGCAGCGCGGGGUAAGAGAUGAAGGGCGUCGGGUCGUAAAGCUCUGUCCGAAAGGAAGAUAGUGACGGUACUUGAGGAGGAAGCCCCGGCUAACUACGUG
Molecule: ribosomal RNA, 452 nt
Filed under: uncultured bacterium
Lineage: Bacteria
Description: partial 16S ribosomal RNA
Rfam family: Bacterial small subunit ribosomal RNA
Source: RNAcentral